CGGCGGGUCCCCUCCCCCAUCCCUUGCAAACUCUGCUUGGGGCGCGGGCGAUGAAACCUGGGGGAGGGAGACUUCGGACUUGGGAAAAGCCACGUCUCCGUUCUCUACAAUUCUCCCCCACCCCCUCCUCCGAUGCCUCAUGUCUGGAGCGGGGGCGCGAGGAGCGCUCCGCCAGGGUCGGCCUCAUGCGUCCCUCGGGUGCCUAGGCUUCCGCCUCCCGCAGGUACCAAUGGCCCCUGCCUGUAGCGUCACUUGUUGCCUCAGGCCCCCUCACUGCACACCCGCCCGGCUCCGUGGAGAGUGCGGUUCUGCGGAAGACAGGCCCUGAGGGCGCAGUGCCCGCAUCCUCCCUCAGUCCUCCUCUUUACCCCUCAAGGAGGACCCGCUGGAGGGAGGGAGCCCGGGCCGGCUUCCUGGCCUUGCGUCGCCGGGAGAAAGGACCGGCAGGGCCGAGGCUUCAGGAUCCCGCCAGGGACUGGGCGGGGCGCUCUUGGUUCGGGGAGCGGAGUGGGGACCCGCACACUCUGCGGUCCAGAGGCUGGAGGGGAACGACUGUGACCUGGUGGGGACCCCUGGCUAGAACAAGUUUCCAGGGUGAGGGGUGGCGGUACAAGAAGAGACAGAGGGAAGGUGAAGAAGCAAAUGCAUAAAGAGGGUAAAAAAUUCUCCAGGAGGGACGGGGAUGAGGAUGCGGAAGGAGGGGACAGUGACAGGCCCGCGAAGGAGAAGGGCAAGCGGGACGCGGAGGGCAAGCAGGCCCAGAGGAGUUAACGGAAAGGAGUUAACGAAAAGAAGGAAGAGAAAGCCUCGGACGUGCGCGAACGGGGAAGGGACGGAGAGCCAGGAGAGAGGGAGACCGAACCCCGCCCUCAGGCUCCGGGCCUCCAGCCCUGGGUCCGGGAGCGCGCCGAGCUUCCGGGGGAUCCGCGCGGCGCGGGGGCGGCGGGCGGGGCGAGGCUCUCCGGGUCCCACCUCCAGCCUCUCCGCCCGGCCGGCGUUCUUCUCGGCGACUCCGGGAUGCCGGCGGCGCCCGAUGCUGCCUCCCUCCGGCGUCCUGCGCGGAGCGGACGCAUCCUUCGUCCUCCGAGUGGCCAUGGCCUUUAAACUUCCCAGUCCUCGGCUGGGAGAGGGGUGCGCCAAGUUUUCAGCUGUGAGGUUCCCUUGCUCCUCUACCCCCGCCUCCCCUAAAGGCCUCCAAGGUGUCAAGCCUCUGGACACUGGAUGCGGCAACCCUCCCCCCUCCCCCCUCCAUACACAUGCCCCGGGCGAGGGAGUCGCGAGGCCACCUCCCCAGGCCAUCCCUUUUGUGAAUGACAGCAUCAGCGGAUUUUAAAAAAGAGGAUUGGGGAGAAGAAAAGAGAUGGAAGAAGAGGAGAGGAGGAAAAAAGGAAAUUGAAGCAGAGAAGUAACAUAUAAUAAUCCUAGGCUUAAGCUAGAUUUAUUUUGGGAAAAGAUGAUUCUCUGUUCCUGAAAUGUUCUAAUUUCUUGCGUAUCUAACUAUCCACUGCUGAUUGUAAGGAUUGCAAUCGUCAAUGACAGGUUUGCUUGCUUGGUUCUUUCUCUGAUGAAUCCAUUUAAUUCUGUGGCCACUGUGACUUUCAUAGAAGAGCUGCCUCACAGUCGCAUGAGAAUACAUCAAUUUUUGUUUGGCUCAUACACAUCUUCUCAAAAUGACUUCAGUAGAGUAAGUAGAAGAACUUUAAUAGGAUUGGAAGAUCAAAGAUGGUGAGAAGAUUUAAGGAUAUCGUCAGUACAUCAAGAAUAAUAAAAUUAAACAUGUCUGAAAACAGAUGAUUGUAAGCAAUUUUGAUAGAGAUAGUCUCUUCCCCUCAAGUAACUUAAAAACCCUAAUUGGAUGAGCUGAUUUGGACAGUCAUCCCAGCCCCAGUGAAAUAAAUGUAUGGAAAGUAUAUAAAAAAUCCUUGUGAAACUUAGCACAUUAAAUUUUGUUCCUACUCACAAAUCCGCUGCUUAGAUGACUCUCCAGAGAAGAUGUCUUCUUUUUUUAUUUUAUUUUAUUUUAUUUUAUUUUUUCCAACUUUAUUGAGAUAUGAUUGUAUGACAUUGUAUAAAUUUAAGGUGUACAACAUGUUGAUUUGAUCCACUUAUAUAUUGCAAUAUGAUUACCAACAUAGGUUAGCUAGCACUUUCAUCAA
Molecule: long non-coding RNA, 2156 nt
Organism: Equus caballus (horse)
Lineage: Eukaryota; Metazoa; Chordata; Mammalia; Perissodactyla; Equidae
Source: Ensembl